AGUGAACGCUGGCGGUAGGCCUAACACAUGCAAGUCGAACGGCAGCACAGUAAGAGCUUGCUCUUACGGGUGGCGAGUGGCGGACGGGUGAGGAAUACAUCGGAAUCUACUUUUUCGUGGGGGAUAACGUAGGGAAACUUACGCUGAUACCGCAUACGACCUACGGGUGAAAGCAGGGGAUCUUCGGACCUUGCGCGAUUGAAUGAGCCGAUGUCGGAUUAGCUAGUUGGCGGGGUAAAGGCCCACCAAGGCGACGAUCCGUAGCUGGUCUGAGAGGAUGAUCAGCCACACUGGAACUCAGACACGGUCCAGACUCCUACGGGAGGCAGCAGUGGGGAAUAUUGGACAAUGGGCGCAAGCCCGAUCCAGCCAUACCGCGUGGGUGAAGAAGGCCUUCGGGUUGUAAAGCCCUUUUGUUGGGAAAGAAAAGCAGCAGGUUAAUACCCCGCUGUUCUGACGGUACCCAAAGAAUAAGCACCGGCUAACUUCGUG
RNAcentral lists this ribosomal RNA (492 nucleotides) under uncultured bacterium. RNAcentral's name for it is "partial 16S ribosomal RNA". It matches the Rfam family "Bacterial small subunit ribosomal RNA", at positions 29 to 507 of the family's 1533-position model. The record is from RNAcentral.